This 236-nucleotide ribosomal RNA is filed under the name uncultured bacterium. RNAcentral's name for it is "partial 16S ribosomal RNA". It matches the Rfam family "Bacterial small subunit ribosomal RNA", at positions 524 to 759 of the family's 1533-position model. The record is from RNAcentral.
UACGUAGGGUGCGAGCGUUAAUCGGAAUACUGGGCGUAAAGCGUGCGCAGGCGGCUUCGCAAGUCAGGCGUGAAAUCCCCGGGCUUAACCUGGGAACUGGCGUCUGAAACUACGGAGCUGGAGUGUGGCAGAGGGAGGUAGAAUUCCACGUUGUAGCGGUGAAAUGCGUAGAUAUUGGGAAGAACACCGGUGGCGAAGGCGGCUCUCUGGACCGAGACUGACGCUAGGCGCGAAAG